RNAcentral lists this non-coding RNA (26 nucleotides) under Homo sapiens (human). Lineage: Eukaryota; Metazoa; Chordata; Mammalia; Primates; Hominidae. The record is from RNAcentral.
UGGACAAGGUGAUGUAAAGCCUCUGC